RNAcentral lists this ribosomal RNA (274 nucleotides) under uncultured bacterium. RNAcentral's name for it is "partial 16S ribosomal RNA". It matches the Rfam family "Bacterial small subunit ribosomal RNA", at positions 644 to 916 of the family's 1533-position model. The record is from RNAcentral.
GAGGUCGGGAGAGGGAUGCGGAAUUCCAGGUGUAGCGGUGAAAUGCGUAGAUAUCUGGAGGAACACCGGUGGCGAAGGCGGCAUCCUGGACCAUUACUGACGCUGAGGAGCGAAAGCCAGGGGAGCAAACGGGAUUAGAUACCCCGGUAGUCCUGGCCCUAAACGAUGAAUGCUUGGUGUGGCGGGUAUCGAUCCCUGCCGUGCCGAAGCUAACGCAUUAAGCAUUCCGCCUGGGGAGUACGGUCGCAAGGCUGAAACUCAAAUGAAUUGACGG